Molecule: long non-coding RNA, 1201 nt
Organism: Anas platyrhynchos (mallard)
Lineage: Eukaryota; Metazoa; Chordata; Aves; Anseriformes; Anatidae
Source: RefSeq, a predicted model, not a curated record
UAUUUAGAAUACCAUUCGACUACUUUUUGCAAAGAAAGAUGUGGUUGCUGGAUAUGGCUUUGUGCUGUGUGUAAAUCUCUCAUUGGUAAUUAUUCACCUGUUGUAGUACAGAGGAAGAGUAACAUAUUUUUCCCUUUGAAUUGUUUCAUGUCUUCAUUCCUGAAUGUAUUCUGGAGUGCAGAGACAUUGUAGAAAGUGCUCUUGAAAUUCUUGGGUGAUGAUAACUACAAUGACUGCCAGGAAAUGACAAAUUCUGGCUAUAAGUACAUAAUAUAUGUACCAUUCUUUUCUCUUUGCGUGAAGAGCUCUGCCUCUCUGUGGAGUCCUCAUUGCCAUUUCUAGAUUUUUUAUUUUUUUUAAUGAAAAUAAAUUAUUUUUAUAUGGUGGAAAUGAUUUGGUUUUUCACUACAUUUUUGUGUGGUGGAUCAUGGAAAUCAGAGAUUUGCUUAAUUAGAAAAAAGGUGAUACAAAAAAAAAAAGGAUAAAAAAAGGAGGAAGAAAACAUUUUCUGUCUGAGCAACUGAGGUUAUCCCUGCAGCGAAGAAAAAAAGAGAAGGAUGAAGUUACUUUAUCACACGAGGACUGGAUUUUCUUAAGAACCUGGAAGUGUAAACUAAUCCUGGACAGUGAAUCAAAAGAACACAAGAAGGCCUUAGCAAUGAGAACCAACGACUUUCAAUUACCUUGACACUUCCAACAAGUUCAGAGCCAAGUCUAUGAUGAACUGUCAGCCAGUAUAAAACAGAAGAAGGGCAGAUUUUACAGUUGCUGUGGAUGCCUGAUAUCAGCUCCUCUGGAAACAUUCAAGGAUAUUUUUGGUUCAAGAUUAAGGAGUCACUAGAUAAAUUAUUAACCAACUGAAUCCUACUUAUUUUAUGUAUAUUAGAAAACUGCACUAUUGAAACAAUAUUCUGCACUCAGGGCUGUCAGUGGAUAUUCACACAUUGCUCUUAAUGUGUUGUUUCUUUCCUAAAGCAAAAUUAGUUUAGAUGUUUUAAACAUGAACCCGAUUUUGCAUCUUCAUUUGCAGCAUUUUUUUCCCCAAUAUUGACAGGAUGUGAAUUUUCUUUCUACAGUGAAGCUGCAGGCCUGGAUUCUUGGUCUUUAGCUAUGCUACCAUACAAAAUAUGUCAUUAUAUUGGUCUAAAAAUUUAAUAAAAAAGCCACCCUUGAUUUGAGCCUAUGCAGACCACUUGCAACA